Molecule: long non-coding RNA, 2077 nt
Organism: Gallus gallus (chicken)
Lineage: Eukaryota; Metazoa; Chordata; Aves; Galliformes; Phasianidae
Source: Ensembl
AAGUGUUUACUGAAAGCUGCUUUCACCACCUCUAUCUUGCUGGUAGCUCUGUCCUUACCCUGUAGUAGCAGCAGGUUGGGGACAAGCCCAGGGUGUGCUGAUGCUCUGUGCAGACCCAAGGAAUGGAGCUGAUGGUGCUGGCACCAGAUGUGCCACUCCUGGCUGAGCCACAGACUAUCCUGUGGGAUGGUGCUUCAGGUGACUGCAGCUUUUAAGGGAGGAGGAGCCUGCUGGACCCCUCGGCAAUUUGGAUGCUGGGAGAUGCUCUCCUGCUGUCCCCCUCUUCAGAAGGAAAGGAGGAGGUCACAGACUGGAAAAAUAAGUUGCAGCUGUGAAUGCAGGCAGAGAUGUGCUGUGGAAGAGAUGUUUCUGCACAGUUUUUUUUCAUAUCUAAGGCAUGAGGGAUGAUGAAUCACCUGAAUGGAAGAUAAAGUUGGGAAGGAGUCCAGUUGGUCAUCUCAUUUUCUGCUGGCAGUGAUCAUGGGACUUGUACAUUCCCACAGAUUUUCUCCAAGAAAUGAAGUACAUUCACUUAGCAAUUUCAGUCCAUCUGAGUAUUAUGCAUGUUCAUGACUCAAAUGAUGUGUGACCACAUUUUUAUAACAAUAUUUAAUAGACAUUAGACCUAGAAAAGAACUCUGCCUAAUCCUGUUAAAUAACAGCAAGGAUAUUUUUCAGGCUAUAUAUCAAAUGCUUCCCACAAUGGGAAACUUCAUCAUUACUCUGUAAGCCAGAUAAACAAUCAGCCACACUCCAAAAAAGCUUAACUAUAAGGUGUAUGUUGUGAUACACAAAUCAAAAUGUAAUUGCUACCAGCCUGCCUGUUUGCUUGCGGCCACGCAACAUCCCUUUUAGAAGCUCCAUGCAUUAAAAAUGCAAUUAUGGAAACAAUUUAUAAUCAAUAUGUGGUUAUUAGGGCAACCUGCACGUAUGGGAUAUUUUAUAGCAAUUAUAAUCCUAGCAGUCCUUUCUGAGAAUGAAAUUUGCAUCCAGCUUCUCCCUUUCAGGUUUCAGUCCUAGCACUGCCACCUACUGCUCAGAGAACUUUGAAAACUGUAUUUAUUAUUUGUUAGGGGGAGCUGAGGAAUUUUCAGAGCCCAUCAUUUGCAGAUGGGCUUGAACGCAGGCUUAUAUAGGGUGAGGGUUGAGGGGGGAGACUGUUGCAAAAGCUCAGUGGUCUCUGAUAAAUCUCCCUGCGUUUACAUGGCUGAGACCAGAAGGAAAAAAUACAAGUAUAGAUUCCUCAUUUGUAAUCCCUCAUUACUGAAAAGAGGUGUUAUCCUGAUCACUCCUCCUUUAUAGCACUUCCAUUUAAUAGCUGGUGGGGGGGUGUCUGAGCUACAAUGAAUGCUGAAGAGUUAUACUGGCUUCUGUAAGCUGAACUUCUGGCCCAGAAUUGUCCAGACAAAAAGUAUGCAGAAGUACUUUUUCAUUUCAGAGACAAAAGAGAAAAAAAAAAAAGGCUUUUGCCAACCACGCCCACAGUCUUGCUUAUUUCUUUGUGAUGGGGAGGUUCAGUCUUCCAAGAAUAAUUAAGUUUGUUAAUGAAGAACGUUAAGGGCAAGUGAACCUGGUUCUUAGUAUCUCUGGUGCAAGGGCUGAUUGGAUUCUGGCACUUUGCCAGCUUUGCCAGGCCACUGCUGUCAAGGCAAGGUACCAAGGAUAGGCUUUAAGAUCCUCAAAACAAGGAAAAUGUGUAAAAUCGUGGCUGUUAGAAUUGAUCUGCGGUUUUGGGGAGGAUUAAAAUGCAUCUUUCUCUGGUGGUACCACCAGAGGGGUUUUGUGCCUUGCUCUUCCCCAGCACCAAUCUCCUUUCCAUUAAAGUAGCCUGUGGGGGGUGUGGGCAACCUCUGUGGGGUGCCUUUUUCUGAGCCAAAAGGAAAGUUGUCUGGCCAACAAGCUUCAGUUGCAGGGAAGAAGGGUAUGAAAUGUUGUACUGGAUUGGCUGAGGUUUGGGGUUGCUUCCAGCUGGAGAUUUAUUACAGCAUAAGGGGUGAAAGGAAGCAAACACUUUUUUUGGCUGAAAAUGACUAUUUUGCCAACUGUUUUGUUAUUAAAAUAAACUCAGAAAUAGAAG